CAUUAUGGUAGCCUGGGAAAACCGUGAUGAACUUUGGGCAAAUUUGAGAUUUGCUCUGGAAGUUCAUCUGGCCAAGAGUCCAUUCAAGCCCAUUUCCAAUGUUUCCAAAUCGAGGCACCAAUCACAACCGUUGAGGCGGGCUUUACACGAUGAUGAUAGCGUAGCAACGGCAGCAGCUUUUUGCUGU
Long non-coding RNA from Etheostoma cragini (Arkansas darter), 187 nucleotides. RefSeq lists it as uncharacterized. The record is from RefSeq and is a predicted model, not a curated record. Lineage: Eukaryota; Metazoa; Chordata; Actinopteri; Perciformes; Percidae. The transcript has 3 exons.